Molecule: ribosomal RNA, 253 nt
Filed under: uncultured bacterium
Lineage: Bacteria
Description: partial 16S ribosomal RNA
Rfam family: Bacterial small subunit ribosomal RNA
Source: RNAcentral
UACGGAGGGAGCUAGCGUUGUUCGGAAUUACUGGGCGUAAAGCGCACGUAGGCGGCGAUUCAAGUCAGAGGUGAAAGCCCGGGGCUCAACCCCGGAACUGCCUUUGAAACUAGAUCGCUAGAAUUCUGGAGAGGCGAGUGGAAUUCCGAGUGUAGAGGUGAAAUUCGUAGAUAUUCGGAAGAACACCAGUGGCGAAGGCGGCUCGCUGGACAGAUAUUGACGCUGAGGUGCGAAAGCGUGGGGAGCAAACAGG